Molecule: long non-coding RNA, 839 nt
Filed under: Homo sapiens (human)
Lineage: Eukaryota; Metazoa; Chordata; Mammalia; Primates; Hominidae
Description: long non-coding RNA NONHSAT175203.1
Source: RNAcentral
AGAACAGUGGCCCACACUCCUAGAAUUUGAGAAAAUGGCAUCUUCUUCAGAGGACAGAGGUCAAUCUCCAGGGCCUGGAAUGUGCGCUUCAGUUCGUGGAUGUCACCUUGUCUGCUCUGCACAGUGGCUGGACUGGCUGCCUCCUGGGACAUGGCUGCAGACUGUGGGACCAAGCAAGGCAAAGGCGUCAGCAUUGGGACCUCAUGGAAAUGCAACCUUUGGGAAGACCUUAAUCAGAUCUUCCCUGGGACCUGUAUCCACCUUCACAUUGACAUUGAAGUCACUUGGCACAUGAUGCUUCUCCAUUUCCUAUUUAAUAACAGAGAAAGGAAAUGAACCGGCUUUGACAAUCAGAAGGCUGGAUUGCCAUGUUGAUUGGCAGUGGAGACACUGUGGCUUCUGUGCAUCUUCGGAUGAUGUCUAUUAUUGUAUCAUCAAAUUCCCUGAUGUUUUCCUCUCUGGCCUGCAUUCUGCUGUUAAGCCCAUCUCCAUUGAGGUUUCUAUUUUGGUUCUAUGGUAUGUUUCAGUUCUGAAAUUUCCACUGGAGUCUUUCCAUCUUCUUCAUUGAGUCUUCUCUAUUUUUGCAUUUGUUGUAAGAGUUUAUUGAAGCAUUGCUUACUGAAGCAUUUUUAUGAUGACUAUUUAAAAAUCAUUGUCAAUAAGUAAAAUAGUGUAACUGGAUGUUUGUAACACCAAAGAUACAUGCUUGAGGGGAUGGACACCCCAUUCUCCAUGUGAUUAUUACACAUUGCAUGCCUGUGUCAAAUCAUCUCAUGUACCCCAUAAAUAUAUACAUCUAUGUACCCAGAAAAAUAACAAAUAAAAAGUUAAAAACCCUU